CGAAGGAUUAUUACGGACGGCCUUUGGGCCAUCGGUAAAGUUGAUAUACUAAAGGAUUUACCGACGGUCAUGUGAGAUGGUGAUUACCGAGGGUUUAUGCCCGUUGGUAAUGAGCAGCGAAUUUACCAAAGGCUUUUGCCCAUCAGUAUAGGCAUGCACUUAAUGAAAUCAGAAUUUAGAAUUCCCCUCUUCCAUUUUCCCCAAUUCUCUCCUCACAAAAGCUUCCCCACACCUUUCACUCCCAAUUUCUCUCCACUCUCCCCCGCCCUAAUCUUUGUCUCCGUCUUUCUCAAGCCAUCGUUUCUCACAUUCUCAAGCUUCUCUUUGUUUACGACGGUGGUUUGGCGGCGUGAGGAGGUGUUGUCACUGCGUUAGGGGGUAGUGUCGUGUCGUGGGUAGAGCUUCUAGCUGGUGAGAGAGGCUAAUUCAGGACUGUGUGAGGAAGUGGCUUUCGCUGCAUGAGAAGGGCUUCACGAGAGAGGGUAUUGGAGGUGUUAAUACACCUAGGGUUGUCGUUGCCGUAGAGGUAAGUUAUUUCAGAGUGAACAAACAAAUCCUAUUAGAUGGGAAAAUUAUUCUUCAUUGUAUGGAACACCAAGGCAUAUUAUAGUAAACAUUGGUUCAGAUAUUGGUUCAUUCGACUUAUUCUGUUUAGUUGUGCAUAUUGUGGAAUUUGUAGUUAAACACUAACAUUUUAAC
This 699-nucleotide long non-coding RNA is filed under the name Vigna radiata. Its description in RNAcentral is "long non-coding RNA (VRAD_LNC006019)". The record is from RNAcentral. Lineage: Eukaryota; Viridiplantae; Streptophyta; Magnoliopsida; Fabales; Fabaceae.